GACGAACGCUGGCGGCGUGCCUAAUACAUGCAAGUCGAACGCACAGUUUAUACCGUAGCUUGCUACACCAUAGACUGUGAGAUGCGAACGGGUGAGUAACGCGUAGGUAACCUGCCUGGUAGCGGGGGAUAACUAUUGGGGACGAUAGCUAAUACCGCAUAAUAUUAAUUAUUGCAUGAUAAUUAAUUGAAAGGUGCAAUUGCACCACUACCAGAUGGACCUGCGGUGUAUUAGCUAGUAGGUGAGGUAACGGCUCACCUAGGCGACGAUGCAUAGCCGACCUGAGAGGAUGAUCGGCCACACUGGGACUGAAACACGGCCCAGACUCCUACGGGAGGCAGCAGUAGGGAAUCUUCGGCAAUGGACGAAAGUCUGACCGAGCAACGCCGCGUGAGUGAAGAAGGGUUUCGGGUCGUAAAGCUCUGUUGUAAGAGAAGAACGGGUGUAAAAGUGGAAAGUUCACACUGUGACGGUAUCUUAACAGAAAGGGACGGCUAACUACGUG
Molecule: ribosomal RNA, 505 nt
Filed under: uncultured bacterium
Lineage: Bacteria
Description: partial 16S ribosomal RNA
Rfam family: Bacterial small subunit ribosomal RNA
Source: RNAcentral